UACGUAGGGGGCAAGCGUUGUCCGGAAUUAUUGGGCGUAAAGAGCGCGUAGGCGGUCCGAUAAGUCGUCUGUGAAAGUCCAGGGCUCAACCCUGGAAUGCCGGUGGAAACUGUCGAGCUAGAGUCCGGAAGAGGCGAGUGGAAUUCCUGGUGUAGCGGUGAAAUGCGCAGAUAUCAGGAGGAACACCAAUGGCGAAGGCAGCUCGCUGGGACGGUACUGACGCUGAGACGCGAAAGCGUGGGGAGCGAACAGG
Molecule: ribosomal RNA, 253 nt
Filed under: uncultured bacterium
Lineage: Bacteria
Description: partial 16S ribosomal RNA
Rfam family: Bacterial small subunit ribosomal RNA
Source: RNAcentral